AUACGUAGGGGGCAAGCGUUGUCCGGAAUUAUUGGGCGUAAAGCGCGCGCAGGCGGUCCCUUAAGUCUGAUGUGAAAUCUCGUGGCUCAACCGCGAGCGGUCAUUGGAAACUGGGGGACUUGAGUGUAGGAGAGGAAAGUGGAAUUCCACGUGUAGCGGUGAAAUGCGUAGAGAUGUGGAGGAACACCAGUGGCGAAGGCGACUUUCUGGCCUAUAACUGACGCUGAGGCGCGAAAGCGUGGGGAGCAAACAGGAUUAGAUACCCUGGUAGUCCACGCCGUAAACGAUGAGUGCUAGGUGUUAGGGGUUUCGAUACCCUUAGUGCCGGCGUUAACACAUUAAGCACUCCGCCUGGGGAGUACGGCCGCAAGGCUGAA
Molecule: ribosomal RNA, 377 nt
Filed under: uncultured bacterium
Lineage: Bacteria
Description: bacterial SSU rRNA
Rfam family: Bacterial small subunit ribosomal RNA
Source: RNAcentral